The sequence is a transfer RNA, 109 nucleotides long. It matches the Rfam family "tRNA". Rfam says of the family: Transfer RNA (tRNA) molecules are approximately 80 nucleotides in length. Their secondary structure includes four short double-helical elements and three loops (D, anti-codon, and T loops). The record is from Rfam.
GGCCGUGUGGUCUAGUGGUAUGAUACUCGCUUUGGGCGAAGAUUGGGUUCACUCAAUCUAAUAUCCACAAGCAUGCGAGUGGCCCAGGGUUCAAUUCCCUGCUCGGCCC